Molecule: ribosomal RNA, 253 nt
Filed under: uncultured bacterium
Lineage: Bacteria
Description: partial 16S ribosomal RNA
Rfam family: Bacterial small subunit ribosomal RNA
Source: RNAcentral
UACAGAGGGGGCGAGCGUUGUUCGGAAUUACUGGGCGUAAAGGGCGCGUAGGCGGCCCGCUAAGUCGAACGUGAAAUCCCCAGGCUCAACCUGGGAACUGCGUCCGAUACUGGCAGGCUUGAAUCCGGGAGAGGGAUGUGGAAUUCCAGGUGUAGCGGUGAAAUGCGUAGAUAUCUGGAGGAACACCGGUGGCGAAGGCGGCAUCCUGGACCGGCAUUGACGCUGAGGCGCGAAAGCCAGGGGAGCAAACGGG